UCUAGAUUCAUGAAAAUAACUUAUGAGAAACCAUAACAUCAUAAACAUCAUAAGAUCAUGCACACUCUGUAAUAUAACACAUAUCAUACUUUUAUAUUUCAAUCAUCAGACAACAAAUUUCCUCUUUUACCAGCCUACUAGUAUCCAUAGAGAUUUAUAGAGGGUCCCUACUACACGUGAACUAUUUAGAUUAAUAACUUAAUUCCAGGAUCGUCCCCAUACCCCGUCCGGUAUGGGCGCCAAAACCAUAAACCUCAAUACCCCGUCCGGUAUGAGGGUGAAACGGGCCGUCCCCAUACCCCGUCUGGUAUGGGCGCCAAAACACAUAAAGUCUCCAUACCCCAUCCGAUAUGAGAGACCACGUUCCUGGUAGGGUUCCCUAUGGACCCGAUCCGUCCACCAUUUCCUAAGAUAUCUAG
This 419-nucleotide long non-coding RNA is filed under the name Carica papaya (papaya). Its description in RNAcentral is "long non-coding RNA (CPAP_LNC014699)". Lineage: Eukaryota; Viridiplantae; Streptophyta; Magnoliopsida; Brassicales; Caricaceae. The record is from RNAcentral.